GACGAACGCUGGCGGCGUGCCUAAUACAUGCAAGUAGAACGCACAGUUUAUACCGUAGCUUGCUACACCAUAGACUGUGAGUUGCGAACGGGUGAGUAACGCGUAGGUAACCUGCCUGGUAGCGGGGGAUAACUAUUGGAAACGAUAGCUAAUACCGCAUAAUAUUAAUUAUUGCAUGAUAAUUAAUUGAAAGGUGCAAUUGCACCACUACCAGAUGGACCUGCGGUGUAUUAGCUAGUAGGUGAGGUAACGGCUCACCUAGGCGACGAUACAUAGCCGACCUGAGAAGGUUAUCGGCCACACUGGGACUGAGACACGGCCCAGACUCCUACGGGAGGCAGCAGUAGGGAAUCUUCGGCAAUGGACGAAAGUCUGACCGAGCAACUCCGCGUGAGUGAAGAAGGUUUUCGGAUCGUAAAGCUCGGUUGUAAGAGAAGAACGGGUGUGAGAGUGGAAAGUUCACACUGUGACGGUAUCUUACCAGAAAGGGACGGCUAACUACGUG
Molecule: ribosomal RNA, 505 nt
Filed under: uncultured bacterium
Lineage: Bacteria
Description: partial 16S ribosomal RNA
Rfam family: Bacterial small subunit ribosomal RNA
Source: RNAcentral